GUUGAACGCUGGCGGAAUGCUUUUACACAUGCAAGUCGAGCGGCAGCGCGGGGCAACCUGGCGGCGAGCGGCGGACGGGUGAGUAAUGCAUCGGAACGUGUCCAUGUCGUGGGGGAUAGCCCGGCGAAAGCCGGAUUAAUACCGCAUACGCCCGAGAGGGGAAAGUGGGGGACCGCAAGGCCUCACGCGAUUGGAUCGGCCGAUGUCCGAUUAGCUAGUUGGCGGGUAAAGCCCACCAAGGCGAUGAUCGGUAGCUGGUCUGAGAGGAUGAUCAGCCACGCUGGGACUGAGACACGGCCCAGACUCCUACGGGAGGCAGCAGUGGGGAAUUUUUGGACAAUGGGGGCAACCCUGAUCCAGCCAUUCCGCGUGAGUGAAGAAGGCCUUCGGGUUGUAAAG
Molecule: ribosomal RNA, 399 nt
Filed under: uncultured bacterium
Lineage: Bacteria
Description: bacterial SSU rRNA
Rfam family: Bacterial small subunit ribosomal RNA
Source: RNAcentral